AAUCAACGCUGGCGGCGUGCCUAACACAUGCAAGUCGCACGAGAAAGUGGAGCAAUCCAUGAGUACAGUGGCGCACGGGUGAGUAACACGUGAAUAAUCUACCUCGAGCGGGGAAUAACUGAGAGAAAUCUUAGCUAAUACCGCAUAACACUUACGAGUCAAAGCAGCAAUGCGCUUGAAGAGGAGUUCGCGGCAGAUUAGUUAGUUGGCGGGGAAUGGCCCACCAAGACGAUGAUCUGUAUCCGGCCUGAGAGGGCGCACGGACACACUGGAACUGAAACACGGUCCAGACUCCUACGGGAGGCAGCAGUGGGGAAUUUUGCGCAAUAGGGGGAAACCCUGACGCAGCAACGCCGCGUGGAGGAUGAAGCCCCUUGGGGGU
This 382-nucleotide ribosomal RNA is filed under the name uncultured bacterium. Its description in RNAcentral is "bacterial SSU rRNA". It matches the Rfam family "Bacterial small subunit ribosomal RNA", at positions 32 to 424 of the family's 1533-position model. The record is from RNAcentral.